AUUGAACGCUGGCGGCAGGCCUAACACAUGCAAGUCGAGCGGAUGAAGGGAGCUUGCUCCUGGAUUCAGCGGCGGACGGGUGAGUAAUGCCUAGGAAUCUGCCUGGUCGUGGGGGAUAACGUCCGGAAACGGGCGCUAAUACCGCAUACGUCCUGAGGGAGAAAGUGGGGGAUCUUCGGACCUCACGCUAUCAGAUGAGCCUAGGUCGGAUUAGCUAGUUGGUGGGGUAAAGGCCUACCAAGGCGACGAUCCGUAACUGGUCUGAGAGGAUGAUCAGUCACACUGGAACUGAGACACGGUCCAGACUCCUACGGGGGGCAGCAGUGGGGAAUAUUGGACGAUGGGCGAAAGCCUGAUCCAGCCAUGCCGCGUGUGUGAAGAAGGUCUUCGGAUUGUAAAGCACUUUAAGUUGGGAGGAAGGGCAGUAAGUUAAUACCUUGCUGUUUUGACGUUACCAACAGAAUAAGCACCGGCUAACUUCGUG
RNAcentral lists this ribosomal RNA (484 nucleotides) under uncultured bacterium. Its description in RNAcentral is "partial 16S ribosomal RNA". It matches the Rfam family "Bacterial small subunit ribosomal RNA", at positions 30 to 507 of the family's 1533-position model. The record is from RNAcentral.